RNAcentral lists this ribosomal RNA (305 nucleotides) under uncultured bacterium. RNAcentral's name for it is "bacterial SSU rRNA". It matches the Rfam family "Bacterial small subunit ribosomal RNA", at positions 338 to 658 of the family's 1533-position model. The record is from RNAcentral.
CCUACGGGACGCAGCAGUGGGGGAUAUUGCACAAUGGGGGAAACCCUGAUGCAGCGACGCCGCGUGGGCGAAGAAGUAUUUCGGUAUGUAAAGCCCUAUCAGCAGGGAAGAAGAAAUGACGGUACCUGAGUAAGAAGCACCGGCUAAAUACGUGCCAGCAGCCGCGGUAAUACGUAUGGUGCAAGCGUUAUCCGGAUUUACUGGGUGUAAAGGAAGCGCAGGCGGCACGGCAAGCCUGAUGUGAAAGCCCGCGGCCCAACCGCGGGACUGCAUUGGAAACUGUAUUGCUUGAGUACCGGAGAGGC